Molecule: non-coding RNA, 159 nt
Organism: Procambarus clarkii (red swamp crayfish)
Lineage: Eukaryota; Metazoa; Arthropoda; Malacostraca; Decapoda; Cambaridae
Source: RefSeq, a predicted model, not a curated record
GUCAGUGGAGGUGGUGUUCCCCCGGACCUCCCAGCCAGCGGGCGUGUGUACUCAUACUUACACUAAUAUACUCUGGCCCUGUGUGUACAUUCUCUACCGUUUGAUAUUACACGUAAUGAUGACAGAAAUCUGAAGAGUAUAAAGACAGAAGAAAUUAAC